GACGAACGCUGGCGGCGUGCCUAAUACAUGCAAGUUGAGCGCUGAAGGUUGGUACUUGUACCAACUGGAUGAGCAGCGAACGGGUGAGUAACGCGUGGGGAAUCUGCCUUUGAGCGGGGGACAACAUUUGGAAACGAAUGCUAAUACCGCAUAAAAACUUUAAACACAAGUUUUAAGUUUGAAAGAUGCAAUUGCAUCACUCAAAGAUGAUCCCGCGUUGUAUUAGCUAGUUGGUGAGGUAAAGGCUCACCAAGGCGAUGAUACAUAGCCGAACUGAGAGGGUGAUCGGCCACAUUGGGACUGAGACACGGCCCAAACUCCUACGGGAGGCAGCAGUAGGGAAUCUUCGGCAAUGGACGAAAGUCUGACCGAGCAACGCCGCGUGGGGGAAGAAGGUUUUCGGAUCGGAAAAAUCUGUUGGUAGAGAAGAACGUUGGUGAGAGUGGAAAGCUCAUCAAGUGACGGUAACUACUCAGAAAGGGACGGCUAACUACGUG
RNAcentral lists this ribosomal RNA (497 nucleotides) under uncultured bacterium. RNAcentral describes it as "partial 16S ribosomal RNA". It matches the Rfam family "Bacterial small subunit ribosomal RNA", at positions 28 to 507 of the family's 1533-position model. The record is from RNAcentral.